ACAACUGACUCUAGCCAAUAUACAACUGACUCUAGCUAGUCAAUUUACAACUUACCUUAACCCCUUUACAAAUUGACAAAGCAUAUUUAUGACUGACGGCAUCAACUAGAUCUUCCUAUAAAUUUAAAGCUUGCAUGUACAUCUUUUCCCUUAAUUUUCGCAAUACUUAUUUUCUUUAAACCAACAAAUUUUUUCAAGCAAUUUAAUUUCGGGUUAAAAAAAAGUAAAUUGUAAAAUGUUGUGAAUAUUUCAAACUUUGAUCUUCUUUGAUGUUAAUUUUAAAAAAUUAAAAAUAAAUCAGUUGGAAAGAGAUAAUUUCAAAAAUUCAAUAAGAAUCCCCAAAAAUAAGAUGGUUUACAUAAAUCUUUAAUAAUUAUUUUAAAAUGAUUUUAUUCCUUGCAACUUUUGUUUAAGCACUCUUCUUUCAACCACCAAAAUAUGGAGCAAAAUGGUGAAAUUCUUUAUUACAAAUGAUUACUUUCCAGCAAAAUUAAAUUUGAUUUACAAUCUCACUAGCCUCUGAUAAAGGCAGAUACUGUAAAUUCAGAAAGUUUUGCAUGCAUUUUUUUGAUAAAACCUUUCGGAAUUUCAAGUCCUCAAUGCUCUUCAACUUCGUACUUUAUUAUUUGGCACUUUUUUAUUUUUUUGAUUUGAGCGUCACUGAUGAGUCUUUUGUGGACGAAACGCACGUCUGGCGUACAAAAUUUCAAUCCUGGUAUCUAUGAUGAGUUUAUUUAUCAUUGAAAUGGGAGAUGAAUUACAGCCAUAAAAUGUUGCUAACAAAUAAUGCUUUCAAAAUUUGAGUUUUAAAUUAAGCGAAACCUGCUCUUUUGCAAUAUUCACAACAAUAAAAAAACAUUGCAAAAAUUUACAUAAUUAUAGUAAUUUCAAAUAAUCUACACUGACUCUGUAAAUUAUGAAUACGAACAUUUUCAACGGCCAUCACCUAUACAUUGAUAUCCUCUAAUAGACUUAACUAACUCAUAAAUGAUGUCAGGCAUGUAUGUAUAUUAUUAUGUUUUUUCUGCUAUCAGAAUUUUUGUGACAUCUCUGCCAUAUUUGAAUGAUGAUUUUAGAAUACACAAAUUAAUAUAAAAACCAAAUAAUGAACUCCAAAUUGAAUAAGAGUCAGCUGAGAGAGUCACAUGAACUCCCAAUGGAUCAAGAGUCAGCUGAGAGAGUCACAUGAACUCCAAAUGGAGUGAGAGUCAGCCAAGAGAGUCACAUGAACUCCAAAUGGAGCCCAAAUGGAGUGAAAGUCAGUUGAGAGAGUCAUGUGAACUCCAAAUAGAGCGAGAGUCACAUGUACUCCAAAUGGAGCAAGAGUCAGCUGAGAGACCACGUCACUCAGUCAAUAUUUCAUGAUAAGGAAUUGGACAAAAUCAGCAAAAUUACAAAUCGGACAACAACUCUGAUGUCUAAAGAUGUGAAGCUGCAAUUAUAUGUAGCUUGUGAGUUGAAUUACACAUAUUUCAGUCACCAAUUUGCGACAGUUUAAGUUACGGAGUGGUGAUUUCAGUCAUUCUUCCAGUUUUUGUGUCAGGAGCACUCACCUUUUAAUGAAGAUAGUAUACUGUGAACAUGUAACGUGGGACUGAGAGUUCUGCCAUUCAUUGCUCUAUAUUUCUCUCUAAUUUUUUGUGUAUUUAAAAUUUGUUCAGACCAGUUGAUAAAUUUUUAAAACAUUACAUUUUAAAUAAAUUUUUAUGCAUAUUUUAUGCAUAUUUUCCAUCCAAUUUUUUUUGGAGUUUUUCAUAAAAUCACUGGAAUAACAACCCAAUCAAUAUUCAUUUAUCCACUCUCAAUAAUCAAAUACUCAAAUUUUAAUUGAAGAUAAAUAUUGAUAAAUUCAUCAGCGCCAUUCCCAGUUUUUAUGUGAAGGAUUAUUGCUUCAGUUUUAGUAUCUAAUUUUUAGUGUUGUCUAUCUUAUGACUUCAGAUGGUUCAUGGUUUCUCCUGUCAGACAGACAAUUCAUGACAGCUAGAAAAAAAUUGUCAUGACAAAAUGUGUUGAUGUUUUUGAACCUGGUAUGAAUUUUUUUAAUUUUCACAUCACAUGCAGAAACUAGAAGCAUGCAUAGUAAAAGUUUGGUAGACAGUUUACGCUACAGAUUCAUUAUAUUUCAGAUUUUAUUAUAAUAAUAUAGUAUGAAGUGUAACUACAUAGAAAUUCUUAUAAUCUGUAACUUAUUGUCAGGUGUAACUAAAGUCUUUAUUGUCAGGUGUAACUAAAGUCUUUAUUGUCAGGUGUUCUACAGGACAAUAAGAAUCAUUGGUUUGUACCAACAAAGUCUGUAUGUCAGGUGUUCUACAGGACAAUAAGAAUCAUUGGUUUGUACCAACAAAGUCUGUAUGUCAGGUGUUCUACAGGACAAUAAGAAUCAUUGGUUUGUACCAACAAAGUCUGUAUGUCAGGUGUUCUACAGGACAAUAAGAAUCAUUGGUUUGUACCAACAAAGUCUGUAUGUCAGGUGUUCUACAGGACAAUAAGAAUCAUUGGUUUGUACCAACAAAGUCUGUAUGUCAGGUGUUCUACAGGACAAUGUGAAUCAUUGGUUUGUACCAACAAAGUCUGUAUGUCAGGUGUUCUACAGGACAAUAAGAAUCAUUGGUUUGUACCAACAAAGUCUGUAUGUCAGGUGUUCUACAGGACAAUAAGAAUCAUUGGUUUGGACCAACAAAGUCUGUAUGUCAGGUUUGUAUAGACCAAUGUGAAUCAUUGGUUUGGACCAACAAAGUCUGUAUGUCAGGUUUGUAUAGACCAAUGUGAAUCUUUGGUUUGGACCAACAAAGUCUGUAUGUCAGGUGUUCUACAGGACAAUAAGAAUCAUUGGUUUGGACCAACAAAGUCUGUAUGUCAGGUGUUCUACAGGACAAUAAGAAUCAUUGGUUUGUACCAACAAAGUCUGUAUGUCAGGUGUUCUACAGGACAAUAAGAAUCAUUGGUUUGUACCAACAAAGUCUGUAUGUCAGGUGUUCUACAGGACAAUAAGAAUCAUUGGUUUGUACCAACAAAGUCUGUAUGUCAGGUGUUCUACAGGACAAUAAGAAUCAUUGGUUUGUACCAACAAAGUCUGUAUGUCAGGUGUUCUACAGGACAAUAAGAAUCAUUGGUUUGUACCAACAAAGUCUGUAUGUCAGGUGUUCUACAGGACAAUAAGAAUCAUUGGUUUGUACCAACAAAGUCUGUAUGUCAGGUGUUCUACAGGACAAUAAGAAUCAUUGGUUUGUACCAACAAAGUCUGUAUGUCAGGAUUGUAUAGACCAAUGUGAAUCAUUGGUUUGUACCAACAAAGUCUGUAUGUCAGGUGUUCUACAGGACAAUAAGAAUCAUUGGUUUGUACCAACAAAGUCUGUAUGUCAGGUGUUCUACAGGACAAUGUGAAUCAUUGGUUUGUACCAACAAAGUCUGUAUGUCAGGUGUUCUACAGGACAAUAAGAAUCAUUGGUUUGGACCAACAAAGUCUGUAUGUCAGGUUUGUAUAGACCAAUGUGAAUCAUUGGUUUGGACCAACAAAGUCUGUAUGUCAGGUUUGUAUAGACCAAUGUGAAUCUUUGGUUUGGACCAACAAAGUCUGUAUGUCAGGUGUUCUACAGGACAAUAAGAAUCAUUGGUUUGGACCAACAAAGUCUGUAUGUCAGGUUUGUAUAGACCAAUGUGAAUCAUUGGUUUGGACCAACAAAGUCUGUAUGUCAGGUUUGUAUAGACCAAUGUGAAUCUUUGGUUUGGACCAACAAAGUCUGUAUGUCAGGUGUUCUACAGGACAAUAAGAAUCAUUGGUUUGGACCAACAAAGUCUGUAUGUCAGGUUUGUAUAGACCAAUGUGAAUCAUUGGUUUGGACCAACAAAGUCUGUAUGUCAGGUUUGUAUAGACCAAUGUGAAUCUUUGGUUUGGACCAACAAAGUCUGUAUGUCAGGUUUGUAUAGACCAAUGUGAAUCAUUGGUUUGUACCAACAAAGUCUGUAUGUCAGGUGUUCUACAGGACAAUAAGAAUCAUUGGUUUGUACCAACAAAGUCUGUAUGUCAGGUGUUCUACAGGACAAUAAGAAUCAUUGGUUUGUACCAACAAAGUCUGUAUGUCAGGUGUUCUACAGGACAAUAAGAAUCAUUGGUUUGGACCAACAAAGUCUGUAUGUCAGGUUUUGUAUAGACCAAUGUGAAUCAUUGGUUUGGACCAACAAAGUCUGUAUGUCAGGUUUUGUAUAGACCAAUGUGAAUCAUUGGUUUGGACCAACAAAGUCUGUAUGUCAGGUUUUGUAUAGACCAAUGUGAAUCAUUGGUUUGGACCAACAAAGUCUGUAUGUCAGGUUUUGUAUAGACCAAUGUGAAUCAUUGGUUUGGACCAACAAAGUCUGUAUGUCAGGUUUUGUAUAGACCAAUGUGAAUCAUUGGUUUGGACCAACAAAGUCUGUAUGUCAGGUUUUGUAUAGACCAAUGUGAAUCAUUGGUUUGGACCAACAAAGUCUGUAUGUCAGGUUUUGUAUAGACCAAUGUGAAUCUUUGGUUUGUAUCAACAAAGUCUGUAUGUCAGGUUUUGUAUAGACCCAUGUGAAUCAUUGGUUUGGACCAACAAAAUUUGAAGCUAAAAAGUUGACCCUGUCCAUUUUUCUCUUACUGUUUAUAGUUUAAGAGAUAUGAGCCAAAACUGUAGUUUGACCCCAUGUUCUAUUUUUAGACGCAGUGGUCAUGUUGGCUGAUCAAGCUGGACUAAAAAUCACAAAAUCAUAUUUGACAGCUUAUAGAUGUAGCAGACAUACUUUGGUUUCAAUUUAUUGAGCAGUUUCAGAGAAGAAUUUUUAAAGAAAAAUUUAUAGACGACAGACACAAAGUGAUGGCAAAGGAUCAUAAUGCCCUUCAAGCCAGGUGAGCUAAAAAUGAAGAGGUAUAAGCUGACAAAAAAAACCUGUCCAAAUAAACAAGGUGGGUUGAAAUCAGAACUAAGCAAAAUAUACCAUGAUAAAAAUAGAAUAUCUAUAAAUAGAUCAGGAUAUACCAUGAUAUUGAUAAAAAUAGAA
Molecule: long non-coding RNA, 5016 nt
Organism: Mytilus californianus (California mussel)
Lineage: Eukaryota; Metazoa; Mollusca; Bivalvia; Mytilida; Mytilidae
Exons: 8
Source: RefSeq, a predicted model, not a curated record